GACGAACCGUGCAAACGUUGUCCGGAAUCACUGGGCUUAAAGGGCGCGUAGGCGGGCGUGCAAGUCUGUGGUGAAAUCCCACGGCUCAACCGUGGAAGGGCCUUUGAUACUGCUCGUCUGGAGGGAGGUAGGGGCGUGCGGAACUUCCGGUGGAGCGGUGAAAUGCGUAGAUAUCGGGAGGAACACCAGUGGCGAAAGCGGCGCGCUGGACCUCUACUGACGCUGAGGCGCGAAAGCCAGGGGAGCAAACGGG
This 253-nucleotide ribosomal RNA is filed under the name uncultured bacterium. Its description in RNAcentral is "partial 16S ribosomal RNA". It matches the Rfam family "Bacterial small subunit ribosomal RNA", at positions 524 to 776 of the family's 1533-position model. The record is from RNAcentral.